UAAGUUAGAAAGGGCGCACGGUGGAUGCCUUGACACUAGGAGUCGAUGAAGGACGGGACUAACGCCGAUAUGCUUCGGGGAGCUGUAAGUAAGCUUUGAUCCGAAGAUUUCCGAAUGGGGAAACCCACCAUACGUAAUGGUAUGGUAUCCUUAUCUGAAUACAUAGGGUAAGGAAGACAGACCCAGGGAACUGAAACAUCUAAGUACCUGGAGGAAGAGAAAGCAAAUGCGAUUUCCUGAGUAGCGGCGAGCGAAACGGAACAUAGCCCAAACCAAGAGGCUUGCCUCUUGGGGUUGUAGGUACAUUCUAUACGGAGUUACAAAGGAACGAGGUAGACGAAGCGACCUGGAAAGGUCCGUCGUAGAGGGUAACAACCCCGUAGUCGAAACUUCGUUCUCUCUUGAAUGUAUCCUGAGUACGGCGGAACACGUGAAAUUCCGUCGGAAUCUUGGGAGGACCAUCUCCCAAGGCUAAAUACUCCCUAGUGAUCGAUAGUGAACCAGUACCGUGAGGGAAAGGUGAAAAGCACCCCGGAAGGGGAGUGAAAGAGAUCCUGAAACCGUGUGCCUACAAAUAGUCAGAGCCCGUUAAUGGGUGAUGGCGUGCCUUUUGUAGAAUGAACCGGCGAGUUACGAUCCCGUGCGAGGUUAAGCUGAAGAGGCGGAGCCGCAGCGAAAGCGAGUCUGAAUAGGGCGUUUAGUACGUGGUCGUAGACCCGAAACCAGGUGAUCUACCCAUGUCCAGGGUGAAGUUCAGGUAACACUGAAUGGAGGCCCGAACCCACGCACGUUGAAAAGUGCGGGGAUGAGGUGUGGGUAGCGGAGAAAUUCCAAUCGAACCUGGAGAUAGCUGGUUCUCCCCGAAAUAGCUUUAGGGCUAGCCUUAAGUGUAAGAGUCUUGGAGGUAGAGCACUGAUUGGACUAGGGGUCCUCAUCGGAUUACCGAAUUCAGUCAAACUCCGAAUGCCAAUGACUUAUCCUUAGGAGUCAGACUGCGAGUGAUAAGAUCCGUAGUCAAAAGGGAAACAGCCCAGACCGCCAGCUAAGGUCCCAAAGUGUGUAUUAAGUGGAAAAGGAUGUGGAGUUGCUUAGACAACUAGGAUGUUGGCUUAGAAGCAGCCACCAUUUAAAGAGUGCGUAAUAGCUCACUAGUCGAGUGACUCUGCGCCGAAAAUGUACCGGGGCUAAAUACACCACCGAAGCUGCGGAUUGAUACCAAUGGUAUCAGUGGUAGGGGAGCGUUCUAAGGACAGUGAAGUCAGACCGGAAGGACUGGUGGAGUGCUUAGAAGUGAGAAUGCCGGUAUGAGUAGCGAAAGACGGGUGAGAAUCCCGUCCACCGAAUGCCUAAGGUUUCCUGAGGAAGGCUCGUCCGCUCAGGGUUAGUCAGGACCUAAGCCGAGGCCGACAGGCGUAGGCGAUGGACAACAGGUUGAUAUUCCUGUACCACCUCUUUAUCGUUUGAGCAAUGGAGGGACGCAGAAGGAUAGAAGAAGCGUGCGAUUGGUUGUGCACGUCCAAGCAGUUAGGCUGAUAAGUAGGCAAAUCCGCUUAUCGUGAAGGCUGAGCUGUGAUGGGGAAGCUCCUUAUGGAGCGAAGUCUUUGAUUCCCCGCUGCCAAGAAAAGCUUCUAGCGAGAUAAAAGGUGCCUGUACCGCAAACCGACACAGGUAGGCGAGGAGAGAAUCCUAAGGUGUGCGAGAGAACUCUGGUUAAGGAACUCGGCAAAAUGACCCCGUAACUUCGGGAGAAGGGGUGCUUUCUUAACGGAAAGCCGCAGUGAAUAGGCCCAAGCGACUGUUUAGCAAAAACACAGCUCUCUGCGAAGCCGUAAGGCGAAGUAUAGGGGGUGACACCUGCCCGGUGCUGGAAGGUUAAGGAGAGGGGUUAGCGUAAGCGAAGCUCUGAACUGAAGCCCCAGUAAACGGCGGCCGUAACUAUAACGGUCCUAAGGUAGCGAAAUUCCUUGUCGGGUAAGUUCCGACCCGCACGAAAGGUGUAACGAUUUGGGCACUGUCUCAACCAGAGACUCGGUGAAAUUAUAGUACCUGUGAAGAUGCAGGUUACCCGCGACAGGACGGAAAGACCCCGUGGAGCUUUACUGUAGCCUGAUAUUGAAUUUUGGUACAGUUUGUACAGGAUAGGCGGGAGCCUUUGAAACCGGAGCGCUAGCUUCGGUGGAGGCGCUGGUGGGAUACCGCCCUGACUGUAUUGAAAUUCUAACCUACGGGUCUUAUCGACCCGGGAGACAGUGUCAGGUGGGCAGUUUGACUGGGGCGGUCGCCUCCUAAAGUGUAACGGAGGCGCCCAAAGGUUCCCUCAGAAUGGUUGGAAAUCAUUCGUAGAGUGCAAAGGCAUAAGGGAGCUUGACUGCGAGACCUACAAGUCGAGCAGGGACGAAAGUCGGGCUUAGUGAUCCGGUGGUUCCGCAUGGAAGGGCCAUCGCUCAACGGAUAAAAGCUACCCCGGGGAUAACAGGCUUAUCUCCCCCAAGAGUCCACAUCGACGGGGAGGUUUGGCACCUCGAUGUCGGCUCAUCGCAUCCUGGGGCUGUAGUCGGUCCCAAGGGUUGGGCUGUUCGCCCAUUAAAGCGGUACGCGAGCUGGGUUCAGAACGUCGUGAGACAGUUCGGUCCCUAUCCGUCGUGGGCGUAGGAAAUUUGAGAGGAGCCGUCCUUAGUACGAGAGGACCGGGAUGGACGCACCGCUGGUGUACCAGUUGUUCUGCCAAGGGCAUAGCUGGGUAGCUAUGUGCGGAAGGGAUAAGUGCUGAAAGCAUCUAAGCAUGAAGCCCCCCUCAAGAUGAGAUUUCCCAUAGCGUAAGCUAGUAAGAUCCCUGAAAGAUGAUCAGGUUGAUAGGUUCGAGGUGGAAGCAUGGUGACAUGUGGAGCUGACGAAUACUAAUAGAUCGAGGACUUAACCA
This 2920-nucleotide ribosomal RNA is filed under the name Bacillus anthracis (anthrax bacterium). RNAcentral describes it as "bacterial LSU rRNA". It matches the Rfam family "Bacterial large subunit ribosomal RNA". Lineage: Bacteria; Bacillati; Bacillota; Bacilli; Caryophanales; Bacillaceae. The record is from RNAcentral.